This 906-nucleotide ribosomal RNA is filed under the name Halobacterium sp. Its description in RNAcentral is "bacterial SSU rRNA". It matches the Rfam family "Archaeal small subunit ribosomal RNA", at positions 48 to 963 of the family's 1478-position model. The record is from RNAcentral. Lineage: Archaea; Methanobacteriati; Methanobacteriota; Halobacteria; Halobacteriales; Halobacteriaceae.
GCUGCUAGUCGCACGAGGUUCAGACUCCGUAGCGAAUAGCUCAGUAACACGUGGCCAAACUACCCUGCGGAGGUCCACACCCUCGGGAAACUGAGGCUAAUUCCGCAUAACGCUCCACCCCUGGAAUGAGGGUUGCUGGAAACGCUACGGCGCCGCAGGAUGUGGCUGCGGCCGAUUAGGUAGACGGUGGGGUAACGGCCCACCGUGCCAAUAAUCGGUACGGGUCAUGAGAGUAAGAACCCGGAGACGGAAUCUGAGACAAGAUUCCGGGCCCUACGGGGCGCAGCAGGCGCGAAACCUUUACACUGUACGCCAGUGCGAUAAGGGGAUUCCGAGUGUGAAGGCAUAGAGCCUGCGCUUUUGUACACCGUAAGGAGGUGUACGAAUAAGGGCUGGGCAAGACCGGUGCCAGCCGCCGCGGUAAUACCGGCAGCCCGAGUGAUGGCCGAUAUUAUUGGGCCUAAAGCGUCCGUAGCUGGCCGCGCAAGUCCAUCGGGAAAUCCACCCGCCCAACGAGCAGGCGUCCAGCGGAAACUGUUCGGCUUGGGACCGGAAGACCUGAGGGGUACGUCCGGGGUAGGAGUGAAAUCCUGUAAUCCUGGACGGACCACCGAUGGCGAAAGCACGUCGCGAGGACGGAUCCGACAGUGAGGGACGAAAGCUAGGGUCUCGACCGGAUAGAUACCGGGUAGUCCUAGCUGUAACAGUGCCCGUUAGUGUGGUGCAAGUUAGAAUGCUGGGUUGGGCCGAAGGAAGCCCGUAACAGAGCGGCUGGGAAGGAACGUCUGAAGGGUUGAAAUUAAAAGAAAUGGCGGGGGAAGAAUUAAAACCGAAGAAGCCGGGGGUUAAUUUGACUUCACGGCCGACACCCACCAGAUCCGAUGGUAGUAUGACGAUCAAGGUGAU